RNAcentral lists this ribosomal RNA (457 nucleotides) under uncultured bacterium. Its description in RNAcentral is "partial 16S ribosomal RNA". It matches the Rfam family "Bacterial small subunit ribosomal RNA", at positions 338 to 795 of the family's 1533-position model. The record is from RNAcentral.
CCUACGGGUGGCAGCAGUGGGGAAUAUUGCACAAUGGGGGAAACCCUGAUGCAGCGACGCCGCGUGAGUGAAGAAGUAUUUCGGUACGUAAAGCUCUAUCAACAGGGAAGAAAAAAAGUCCUUUGGACUUUGGACGGUACCUGACCAAGAAGCCCCGGCUAACUACGUGCCAGCAGCCGCGGUAAAACGUAGGGGGCAAGCGUUAUCCGGAGUUACUGGGGGUAAAAGGAGGGUCGACGGCAGGGCAAGUCUGGCGUGAAAUGGCGGGGCCGAACCCCGUGACUGCUUGGGAAACUGUGCAGCUGGAGUGCAGGAGAGGUAAGCGGAAUUCCUAGUGUAGCGGUGAAAUGCGUAGAUAUUAGGAGGAACACCAGUGGCGAAGGCGGCUUACUGGACUGUAACUGACGUUGAGGCUCGAAAGCGUGGGGAGCAAACAGGAUUAGAUACCCGGGUAGUC